RNAcentral lists this ribosomal RNA (1143 nucleotides) under Triticum aestivum (bread wheat). RNAcentral's name for it is "partial small subunit ribosomal RNA". The record is from RNAcentral. Lineage: Eukaryota; Viridiplantae; Streptophyta; Magnoliopsida; Poales; Poaceae.
AUGGCGAGCUAUCGAUUCCUCGUCCAGCAGAUCAGCGGAUACUUCGAAGGGUGCGAGUUCCUUCACAUGCCAAGGGCCGACAACGACCAAGCAGAUGCCCUAGCACGGAUCGGCUCCACCCGACAAGCCAUACCGACUGGCGUCUCCCUCCAGCGCCUCCUCAAGCCGUCCAUCAAACCGUCUCCAGAGUCGGACUCUAUCUUCGUACCGCCUGCGCCAGAUGCAGCCGGAUCCGACUGGAGGAACCCCGCAGGCGGCACGGGGACUUCGACAACUGGCCCGGGGACUGCCGUAGUCGCACCUGGCCCGGGGACUUCAGAACCCGGCCCAGGGAUUGCAGCAGUCGGCCCGGGGACUGCAACGACACAAGAAGCGGUGGCCGACUCCAAUUCCAUGCCACCCAACCCACCCACCCGAGUCAUGGUGGCUACACUAACAGAAGAAGAAGUCAUAGCUCCAUCAUGGGCCCAGCCCAUCCUCAAGUUCCUAGUCAGCAGAGAGCUGCCGGCUGAUGAGAUCUCAGCAAGACUAGUGCAACGACGAGCCGCAACAUAUGCAAUAAUCAACAGGGAGCUUGUGAAGCGCAGCGUCACUGGAGUCUUCCAGCGUCAUGUCGAGCCAGAAAAAGGAGUGGCAAUCCUCAAGGAUAUCCACCAAGGCGAAUGCGGCCACCACGCAGCCUCAAGAUCACUUGUGGCCAAGGCUUUCCGCCAUGGUUUCUUCUGGCCGGCUGCCUUGGAGGAUGCUAAAGAAAUAGUCAAGAGCUGCAGAGGAUGCCAAGUUUUUAGUUCCAAGCAACACCUGCCAGCUUCUGCACUCAAGACCAUUCCCCUCACCUGGCCUUUUGCCGUCUGGGGACUGGACAUGGUGGGCCCUUUCAAGACAGCCCGCGGCGGCUUGACGCAUCUACUUGUCGCUGUGGACAAGUUCACAAAGUGGAUCGAAGCAAAGCCGAUCAAGAAGCUGAACGGGCCGACUGCCGUGACAUUCAUCACUGACAUCACUACUCGGUACGGCGUGCCGCACAGCAUCAUCACCGACAACGGCACAAACUUCGCCAAAGGAGCACUGGCAAGUUUCUGCGCGACGCAGGGCAUCCGACUGGACUUAGCGUCCGUUGCCCACCCGCAGUCAAACGGCUAG